Molecule: ribosomal RNA, 468 nt
Filed under: uncultured bacterium
Lineage: Bacteria
Description: partial 16S ribosomal RNA
Rfam family: Bacterial small subunit ribosomal RNA
Source: RNAcentral
GACGAACGCUGGCGGCGUGCUUAACACAUGCAAGUCGAACGGAAAGGCCCUGCUUUUGUGGGGUGCUCGAGUGGCGAACGGGUGAGUAACACGUGAGUAACCUGCCCUUGACUUUGGGAUAACUUCAGGAAACUGGGGCUAAUACCGGAUAGGAGCUCCUGCUGCAUGGUGGGGGUUGGAAAGUUUCGGCGGUUGGGGAUGGACGCGCGGCUUAUCAGCUUGUUGGUGGGGGAGUGGCUAACAAAGGGUUCGAUGGGUAGCCGGCCUGGGAGGUUGACCGGCCACAAUGGGACUGAGAGACGGCCCAGACUCCUACGGGAGGCAGCAGUGGGGAAUAUUGCACAAUGGGCGGAAGCCUGAUGCAGAAACGCCGCGUGCGGGAUGACGGCCUUCGGGUUGUAAACCGCUUUCGCCUGUGACGAAGCGUGAGUGACGGUAAUGGGUAAAGAAGCACCGGCUAACUACGUG